UUUUUGCGUUCACGAUGGCAGCGGCAUCCUUUAGCAGCUUUCUUUAAGCGGCUAAAGAUAUAGCGAACAGCGUGAUGAAAC
This 81-nucleotide small RNA is filed under the name Flavobacterium granuli. RNAcentral describes it as "Flavo-1 RNA". It matches the Rfam family "Flavo-1 RNA". The record is from RNAcentral. Lineage: Bacteria; Pseudomonadati; Bacteroidota; Flavobacteriia; Flavobacteriales; Flavobacteriaceae.